AGGUUGUUAGCAGUUACAGGCAUUGUAGGGCAUAAGAAGGCCCUGGCUGGGCUGCUAAUCAGGAGGAGGAAGGUAGCAAUGGAAAAGGCUAUAUUUCUGGCCUCCUGGAAGGCUGGCUGUGCUUAGCACAGCAGGUGAACAGUACUGGAACUCUAUAGGGAAGACAGAGCCUCAGGGAGGAGGGACUGGUCCCAGCUGAAACUGGGAUGAAGAGAUUUGAUGUCUGGAGGCCCCAAUCAAGAUAUGUUAAGUGACUCCACCAGGAUCACGCAGGGAAUCAGUGGCAGAGCCAGCAAUGAAAUCCAGGGGUCCUGACUCUGCUAGCCAAGUUGCCUUCCUUGAAGUUUGCUAGAUGGUAAACUCUCCUUGCAGCAUGAAGUGUUUCUGCUGAUGAAGAAUGUGAUUGGAACAGCUAAUUGGCUGAUGAGGAAAGCCAUGGGUGUUGGAGAAUGAAGCAUUGUUACCGCUGAGUACAACAGACAACUGCUUUAGAGGUUUUCAUUUGGUGAAAAUAAUAUUCCAAAAACUGAGUGAGGAUUUGUAAUGCUGGGUUUUGUGCUACACAGUGAGGCAACCUAGAGGAUUAAGAUAAUCAUUAAGAAGAUAAAUGCAAAAGAUAUGAGCAAAGGUUAUUCACCUUCAUUGAUAUUAGUCCCUUAUUAGCAACAUCACAGAAUGCUAGAUCACCUCAUUCUUAACCUCAUGUGCCUGACCUGCUGUUAAGCCAAUUUAAAGCUUUAUUAUUCUCUUAGUUGAUGAGAUUUACAGUAACCUCUACAAAUCUGUUGCUCUUUAAUCUUAAUUUGACCUCCCAUUUUUAUAAUGUAUUUUGGAGCCAUUAGCAAUAAGUGAGACUGAUGAUUCUGUUUAACAUUUUUCUGUACAAAUUAGUUGUCCACCUAACUCUCUUCCAUGUAACAUGGCUGAACCAUCCUUUAGAUACUAAAAGCAGCAUGUGGCUGGGGAUAUACUGUCCUAGGAAUUUUGUAUCCUCCUGAGCAUCUUGAUAUCUGUCUCCAUAGGAACAGAAUUCCAAUUAAUACUUGUGCAUAAGCUUAAUGGGGCCUUUUAAAUCUUACUCUUGCUUCUUUUCAGAAAAGGGAGUAGUGAGAGAAUAGCACAAGUGAAUUAACCUGAGAGAGAAGUCUUCUUCCUGCCUCUCCUAGCUUGACCAAUACGUGCGAUAAUGCUGAGAAAAUUAAGUGAUUCUCAUGCUAGUUACAUGGAGCUAGAAUAACAGAUUUAAGGAACUGCCUGACUGCAUGUAGGCGAAGUAUUAGAGAAGGUACUGGUGGCGUCUAUCCAGAGAGGUUAUUGGCUUGUGGUAACCAGAUUAAAAGAAACAUUGUAGAGGGCUUGGAUAGCUCAGGGGAAUUGGUAAUGGGAUACAAAUAGUCUUUAACCUCACUGGUUCGAAUGUGGCUUAGGCUGAGAGUAAAUGAACAUUGUCCUCUUUUGAGGGCUGUUAGGUGCCUAUGAAAAAUGGAAUUCAACUGAGAUCGUCUACUGGAUCAGGUAUCCCUCCUCCCACACAAACAAACCCAACCACUAAUGGCAUUCUCACUUGCAGUUAACACAGACAACCUAAGCACUAAAUGCUCUUAAAAACACUUCAGUAAUUGCCCUACCAGGCAGUAUCGUUGUUCUUAGCAGUAGCAAUAGGAUCAUGACCAAAGUAUUGUUCUAUAAGAGUGGGCAUGAAGAACCAAGUGCUGCUUACCCUUAAGUGAUCCUGACAGGCAGCAAUGAGUGACAUCUGCAGGGCCCUGAGCAGAACCUUGUAUUGCUGCUCUUUUUGUUAGCCUAGUGAAAGGCUAUCAGUCUGAAACCUUUAACAUACACUUCAGAUUUGGAGAAAUAAAUAUAAUUUUCUUUAAUGACACUUCUGUCUAUAACGAAGACAGGCCUGGGUAAACCCUGGACUAAAGUGCGGAUGAUCUAUCCAACUACUGACAGUGCCCUUUCUGGCAAGUGCUUGGAUGUUCUCUGUGUGAUUAAGGAUGAAAGGAACGGUUGAUUCACCUGAUUCUCAUUCCUUACUCUUUUUUGCAGGGGGGAAAACUGCUCUAUAGUUAGUUAGUUUGUUUAAUUAAGCAGGACAGUCCCCUUCAUUUUUCUAAUGAUUCUCUUGGAAGAGAAACUUUGCUCCCGAUAUCUGUUCUGUAUGUGUCCUCUAGUAGAUUUGAAUCAUGGCCUCUUCUGCCUCAUUAGAUAGUCUGAACUGGAGCUGAUUGAGAGUUUUCAGACUAAAUGUCUUUUUUUUUUGUCUGAAAAUGCUGAUUUGUCAAAACAAAGAGUGUUCUCUAGAAAGGGUCUGUUUUGCUGAAUCUCCUGAUAUUUUAAAAAAAAUAGUUUCAAAAUUAAGUGUCUUAUUUUGACACUUUUUUUAAAUGAAAAGUUUGAGUUUUGUGCAAAAAUUCUUGGUUUCAAAUUUUAGUGGGUUUUUUCCCUACAAAAAAAAAUUAAUAGAAAUUACU
Mauremys reevesii (Reeves's turtle) is the source of this 2477-nucleotide long non-coding RNA. RefSeq lists it as uncharacterized. The record is from RefSeq and is a predicted model, not a curated record. NCBI's taxonomy places the organism in Eukaryota, Metazoa, Chordata, Testudines, Geoemydidae. The transcript has 3 exons.